This 273-nucleotide ribosomal RNA is filed under the name uncultured bacterium. RNAcentral describes it as "partial 16S ribosomal RNA". It matches the Rfam family "Bacterial small subunit ribosomal RNA", at positions 523 to 796 of the family's 1533-position model. The record is from RNAcentral.
AUACGGAGGGUGCAAGCGUUGCUCGGAAUCACUGGGCGUAAAGCGCACGCAGGCGGCCAGGUAUGUCGGAUGUGAAAGCCCCGGGCUCAACCCGGGAACUGCAUUCGAAACUGCUUGGCUUGAGUCCGUGAGAGGGUGGUGGAAUUCCUGGUGUAGAGGUGAAAUUCGUUGAUAUCAGGAGGAACAUCGGCGGCGAAGGCGGCCACCUGGCUCGGUACUGACGCUCAUGUGCGAAAGCGUGGGUAGCAAACAAGAUUAGAAACCCUGUAGUCC